RNAcentral lists this ribosomal RNA (427 nucleotides) under uncultured bacterium. RNAcentral's name for it is "bacterial SSU rRNA". It matches the Rfam family "Bacterial small subunit ribosomal RNA", at positions 355 to 775 of the family's 1533-position model. The record is from RNAcentral.
UCGAGAAUUUUUCUCAAUGGGCGAAAGCCUGAAGGAGCGACGCCGCGUGGGGGAUGAAUGGCUUCGGCCCGUAAACCCCUGUCAUUUGCGAACAAACCUUACCGGUUAACAACCGGUGAGCUGAUUGUAGCGAAAGAGGAAGGGACGGCUAACUCUGUGCCAGCAGCCGCGGUAAUACAGAGGUCCCAAGCGUUGUUCGGAUUCACUGGGCGUAAAGGGUGCGUAGGUGGUAAGGCAAGUCAGGUGUGAAAUCUCCGGGCUCAACCCGGAAAUGGCAUUCGAAACUACCUUGCUAGAGGGUUUGAGGGGGGACUGGAAUACUUGGUGUAGCAGUGAAAUGCGUAGAUAUCAAGUGGAACACCAGUGGCGAAGGCGAGUCCCUGGAAAACUCCUGACACUGAGGCACGAAAGCUAGGGGAGCAAACAG